AGUGAACGCUGGCGGUAGGCCUAACACAUGCAAGUCGAACGGCAGCACAGUAAGAGCUUGCUCUUACGGGUGGCGAGUGGCGGACGGGUGAGGAAUACAUCGGAAUCUACUUUUUCGUGGGGGAUUACGUAGGGAAACUUACGCUAAUACCGCAUACGACCUUCGGGUGCAAGCAGGGGAUCUUCGGAUCUUGCGCGAUUGAAUGAGCCGAUGUCGGAUUAGCUAGUUGGCGGGGUAAAGGCCCACCAAGGCGACGAUCCGUAGCGGGUCUGAGAGGAUGAACCGCCACACUGGAAGUGAGACACGGUCGAGACUCCUGCGCGGAGCAGCAGUCGGGAAUAUUGCGCGAUGGAGGAGAGCCUGAUACAGCAAUACCGCGUGAGUGAAGAAGGACUUCGGGUGGGAAAGCCCUGUUGUUGGGAGAGAAAAACAGCAGGUUAAUACCCGGCUGUUCUGACGGUACCCAAAGAAUAAGCACCGGCUAACUUCGUG
Molecule: ribosomal RNA, 492 nt
Filed under: uncultured bacterium
Lineage: Bacteria
Description: partial 16S ribosomal RNA
Rfam family: Bacterial small subunit ribosomal RNA
Source: RNAcentral